RNAcentral lists this ribosomal RNA (893 nucleotides) under Diplolaimelloides environmental sample. RNAcentral's name for it is "bacterial SSU rRNA". It matches the Rfam family "Eukaryotic small subunit ribosomal RNA", at positions 618 to 1539 of the family's 1831-position model. Lineage: Eukaryota; Metazoa; Nematoda; Chromadorea; Monhysterida; Monhysteridae. The record is from RNAcentral.
GGUAAAAACUCGUUUUUGGAUCUGAGUGCUUAGCGCCUUUUGCAGUUCGGCUGUUACUAGGCGCGGCACAUAAUCGCCAAUCGGUUGCCAUUGUUGCCUUAACUGGUGAUGGUGGUUAACUGUUGGCAAGUUUACUUUGAACAAAUCAGAGUGCUCAAUACGGGCGUUUCGCUUGUAUGGUCGUGCAUGGAAUAAUAGAAUAGGACCUUGGUUCUAUUUUGUUGGUUUUCGGAAUUGAGGUAAUGAUUAAGAGGGACAGACGGGGGCAUUCGUACUCCAGCGUGAGAGGUGAAAUUCUUGGAUCGUUGGAAGACGAACUACUGCGAAAGCAUUUUGCCAAGAAUGUUUUCAUUAAUCAAGAACGAAAGUAAUGGGUUCGAAGGCGAUCAGAUACCGCCCUAGUCAUUACCGUAAACGAUUGUAACUGGGAGCUAGCAGGCGUUUUCUAUGACUCUGCUAGAACCCACCCCGGAAACGAUAAGUUUUCGAUAUCCGGGGGAAGUAUACCUGCAAAUGCGAAACUUAAAGGAAUUGACGGAAGGGCACCACCAGGGGUGGGACUGCGGCUUAAUUUGACUCAACACGGGGAAACUCAUCCGGUCCGGACACCGUGAGGAUUGACAGAUUGAGAGCUCUUUCUUGAUUUGGUGGGCAGUGGUGCAUGGCCGUUCUUAGUUGGUGGAGUGAUUUGUCUGGUUUAUUCCGAUAACGAACGAGACUCUGGCCUACUAACUAGUUGCGCGAUUUUUCUGUCGUGCCAACUUCUUAGAGGGACAAGCGGUGCUCAGCCGCAUGAAAAAGAGCAAUAACAGGUCUGUGAUGCCCUUCGAUGUUCGGAGCCGCACGCGCGCUACACUGUGAGUGGCAGCAUGUUGGUUUGCCUCGCUCGCAAG